This 450-nucleotide ribosomal RNA is filed under the name uncultured bacterium. RNAcentral's name for it is "bacterial SSU rRNA". It matches the Rfam family "Bacterial small subunit ribosomal RNA", at positions 354 to 796 of the family's 1533-position model. The record is from RNAcentral.
GUAGGGAAUCUUCCGCAAUGGACGCAAGUCUGACGGAGCAACGCCGCGUGAGUGAAGAAGGUUUUCGGAUCGUAAAACUCUGUUGUUAGAGAAGAACAAGUGCUAGAGUAACUGUUAGCGCCUUGACGGUAUCUAACCAGAAAGCCACGGCUAACUACGUGCCAGCAGCCGCGGUAAUACGUAGGUGGCAAGCGUUGUCCGGAUUUAUUGGGCGUAAAGCGAGCGCAGGCGGUUCCUUAAGUCUGAUGUGAAAGCCCCCGGCUCAACCGGGGAGGGUCAUUGGAAACUGGGGAACUUGAGUGCAGAAGAGGAGAGUGGAAUUCCAUGUGUAGCGGUGAAAUGCGUAGAUAUAUGGAGGAACACCAGUGGCGAAGGCGACUCUCUGGUCUGUAACUGACGCUGAGGCUCGAAAGCGUGGGUAGCAAACAGGAUUAGAAACCCUGGUAGUCC